This 254-nucleotide ribosomal RNA is filed under the name uncultured bacterium. Its description in RNAcentral is "partial 16S ribosomal RNA". It matches the Rfam family "Bacterial small subunit ribosomal RNA", at positions 524 to 776 of the family's 1533-position model. The record is from RNAcentral.
UACGUAGGGGGCGAGCGUUGUCCGGAUUUAUUGGGCGUAAAGGGCUCGUAGGCGGCUCAGUAAGUCGGGUGUGAAACCUCCAGGCUCAACCUGGAGACGCCACUCGAUACUGCUGUGGCUAGAGUCCGGUAGGGGAGCAUGGAAUUCCUGGUGUAGCGGUGAAAUGCGCAGAUAUCAGGAGGAACACCGGUGGCGAAGGCGGGUCUCUGGGCCGAUACUGACGCUGAGGAGCGAAAGCGUGGGGAGCGAACAGG